CCUACGGGAGGCAGCAGUGGGGAAUUUUCCGCAAUGGGCGAAAGCCUGACGGAGUAAGACCGCGUGAGGGAAGAAGGUCUGUGGAUUGUAAACCCCUUUUGAUUGGGAAGAUGAUGACGGUACCAAUCGAAUCAGCCUCGGCUAACUCCGUGCCAGCAGCCGCGGUAAUACGGAGGAGGCAAGCGUUAUCCGGAAUUAUUGGGCGUAAAGCGUCCGUAGGUGGAUAUUCGUGUCAGUUGUUAAAGGAUGCGGCUUAACCGCAUAAAGGCGAUUGAAACUGGAUGUCUAGAGUGCGAUAAGGGCAAGGGGAAUUCCCAGUGUAGCGGUGAAAUGCGUAGAUAUUGGGAAGAACACCGGUGGCGAAAGCGCCUUGCUGGGUCUGCACUGACACUGAGGGACGAAAGCUAGGGGAGCGAAAGGGAUUAGAUACCCCAGUAGUC
This 440-nucleotide ribosomal RNA is filed under the name uncultured cyanobacterium. Its description in RNAcentral is "bacterial SSU rRNA". It matches the Rfam family "Bacterial small subunit ribosomal RNA", at positions 338 to 795 of the family's 1533-position model. The record is from RNAcentral. Lineage: Bacteria; Bacillati; Cyanobacteriota.